RNAcentral lists this ribosomal RNA (468 nucleotides) under uncultured bacterium. RNAcentral's name for it is "SSU rRNA". It matches the Rfam family "Bacterial small subunit ribosomal RNA", at positions 26 to 518 of the family's 1533-position model. The record is from RNAcentral.
AGAGCGAACGCUGGCGGCAGGCUUAACACAUGCAAGUCGAGCGCCCCGCAAGGGGAGCGGCAGACGGGAGAGUAACACGUGGGAACGUACCUUUCGGUUCGGAACAACCCAGGGAAACUUGGGCUAAUACCGGAUACGUCCGUAAGGAGAAAGAUUUAUCGCCGAAAGAUCGGCCCGCGUCUGAUUAGCUAGUUGGUGAGGUAACGGCUCACCAAGGCGACGAUCAGUAGCUGGUCUGAGAGGAUGAUCAGCCUCACUGGGACUGAGACACGGCCCAGACUCCUACGGGAGGCAGCAGUGGGGAAUAUUGGACAAUGGGCGCAAGCCUGAUCCAGCCAUGCCGCGUGGGUGAUGAAGGCCCUAGGGUUGUAAAGCCCUUUUGUCGGGACGAAAUCGUACGGGUGAAUAUCCCGUGCGGAUGACGGUACCGGAAGAAUAAGCACCGGCUAACUUCGUGCCAGCAGCCGC